ACCAAGUCUGUUAUGCCAUACAAUACCCUCUGAAUUCUCUGUUUGUGCCAUUAAACCUUGCUCCACAUGCCUGACCUUUUCUGAAAGAUGACUGGGAAAGUAAUAAAUGCCUCCCCUCUCUUUACCAGUCCCCUUCACCUUCUCAUUGAAGAGGUCCUGAAAUACACAGUGCUUAGGAAAAAAGGUUACAAAACAAUUCAGUUGCCUGGUCAAUUGAGAUACUGAAAGUAGGUCAAACUUAAACUCAGGGACAACCAAUACAUUAUUCAAGACUUCACCAG
RNAcentral lists this long non-coding RNA (281 nucleotides) under Solanum tuberosum (potato). Its description in RNAcentral is "long non-coding RNA (STUB_LNC010665)". Lineage: Eukaryota; Viridiplantae; Streptophyta; Magnoliopsida; Solanales; Solanaceae. The record is from RNAcentral.